Molecule: long non-coding RNA, 382 nt
Filed under: Salmo trutta (river trout)
Lineage: Eukaryota; Metazoa; Chordata; Actinopteri; Salmoniformes; Salmonidae
Description: lncRNA (ENSSTUG00000007851.1)
Source: RNAcentral
GAACGCUAAGCCACAGCGACCAGUACUCUUCCAGACCUCAGGAUUCUAUUCUUCAGCUUUUUAGAAUCAGAUGCGUAUUUGUUCCAAACUGAUGAUUUCAACUGAUGCUCUCCUGAUGCAUGGCAGACGGAGGUGCCUGUGUCUCUGAGAACACCAUGUGAAUCCCCGUGCCUGAGAACACCAUGUGAAUCCCCGUGCCUGAGAACGCAUGUGAAUCCCAGGAACAUCCUCCAACACACCAUUCAUCAGAGAAGCCCUAUCUGUGACCACAUGUUUGUGCUAAACAAGAGCAAGGGGGAGUUUAAGGAAGACCAAUACCACCAAGAACACUCUGCCUGAAUCUAGACUCUGAAAUGGGCAAGAAGAUACAGACUGAGUGGGU